GCAGAGAGGCGGAGAAACGAAGUAGAGAAAACAGAUUAAAACCAACAUUUGAAACGUUGUCUCGGUUUGUCAGUACUGUGAGAAUAUGAUUACUGAAGAAGUUUGGAUUCUAAAAGAAGCUUGGGGCUGCUUUUUUGUCGAACAUGAGUGAGGCUGGAAGCUGAAUACACCUGCGGCUAGAAGGUGUCAGCAUUUCGUCCACGACAUCGUCUACGAUUGCUGAGAUGUCGUCCACGAUCGGAGAGACACUGUUGAGGAUGAGGGAGACAUUGUCUACGAUCAGAGACAUUGUCCAUGAUCGCAGAGACUUUGUCAAAGACGAGAGAGACGUUGUCCAUGAUCAGAGACAUUGUCCCAUGCUUCGUAGAGCUCUGCGCAAGAAUCGGUAGAGACACUGUGGUUCCUCGAUUCGACGGCAUGACCGCGAUCAUGGAGACAUUGUCGAUGGUCACAGAGACACCGUCUAUGAUCUCAGAGACAUCGCCCACGAUCAUAAAGACAUUGUCCAUGAUCACAGAGACUUUGUCCAUAAUCUCAGAGACAUUGUCCGCGAUCACAAAGACGUAGUCCACAAUCGCAGAGAGCCAUCGUACAGCAAGGAAGUUGUUUGAGACCAGGACAGAGGCCUCCAGGUGUCACCACUUUGUCCACAACAUCGUCUACGAUUGCUGAGACGUUGUCCACGAUCGGAGAGACACUGUUGAGGAUGAGGGAGACAUCGUCCACGAUCAGAGACAUUGUCCAUGAUCGCAGAGACUUUGUCAAAGACGAGAGAGACGUUGUCCAUGAUCAGAGACAUUGUCCCAUGCUUCGUAGAGCUCUGCGCAAGAAUCGGUAGAGACACUGUGGUUCCUCGAUUUGACGGCAUGACCGCGAUCAUGGAGACAUUGUCGAUGGUCACAGAGACACCGUCUAUGAUCUCAGAGACAUUGCCCACGAUCAUAAAGACAUUGUCCAUGAUCACAGAGACUUUGUCCAUAAUCUCAGAGACAUUGUCCGCGAUCACAAAGACGUAGUCCACAAUCGCAGAGAGCCAUCGUACAGCGAGGAAGUUGUUUGAGACCAGGACAGAGGCCUCCAGGUAAUUCACAAACCGCUUUAUAUCAACUGUCCAACACAGAGCACUGACAUUUAACUGUUUAUGUUCGGUAUUCAGUAUAUCUGAAAAGUGUUAUAAAUAGAAGUAAUUUGCUAUACAAAAACAAUGCAUAAGUAAUCUACAUUAAUAGACGUAAUGUAAAGUAAAUUGUAAUCUCAGAAGUAGUGCGAAAAAAAAUCACAGUAGUAAGACAUCAAAAACUGUCAAAAAAAAAGUCAUAAUGUAGUAAGACAUAAAGAAUGUCAUGGUAUAGUAUGGAGUCUAGACCGUACUCUUUUAUGUAAUUUGACAGAAAGAGACCCAACAAAUCCCACCAUGAGCAGCACUAGGUGACAGUGGCAAGAAAAAACUUCUUUUAAGAAGUAGAAACCUUGAACAGAAGCAGAUUUAGGGUGGGCAACCAUCUGCCUCACCAUGUUGGGUAAUAUAGUGAAGUAUCAAAAAUGUGGUGAAAAUAUUAUACUAUAGUAAAGCAUGACAAUGUCUUAGUAUAACAUGGCAUGAAAUGUUUUGUUAACUUCUCUGGUUCAGCUGUAAUGUUGAAUAUUUCUGUGUGUUUUCAUGGUUAAACUGUUGAUGAGGAAUAGGUAGUAGUGUAUUGAUCAUUUUCCUUUGUAUGUUUCUCUUUGAUUUCCUCCAGGUGUCACCACUUUGUCCACAACAUCGUCUACGAUUGCUGAGACGUUGUCCACGAUCGGAGAGACACUGUUGAGGAUGAGGGAGACAUCGUCCACGAUCAGAGACAUUGUCCAUGAUCGCAGAGACUUUGUCAAAGACGAGAGAGACGUUGUCCAUGAUCAGAGACAUUGUCCCAUGCUUCGUAGAGCUCUGCGCAAGAAUCGGUAGAGACACUGUGGUUCCUCGAUUUGACGGCAUGACCGCGAUCAUGGAGACAUUGUCGAUGGUCACAGAGACACCGUCUAUGAUCUCAGAGACAUUGCCCACGAUCAUAAAGACAUUGUCCAUGAUCACAGAGACUUUGUCCAUAAUCUCAGAGACAUUGUCCGCGAUCACAAAGACGUAGUCCACAAUCGCAGAGAGCCAUCGUACAGCGAGGAAGUUGUUUGAGACCAGGACAGAGGCCUCCAGGUAAUUCACAAACCGCUUUAUAUCAACUGUCCAACACAGAGCACUGACAUUUAACUGUUUAUGUUCGGUAUUCAGUAUAUCUGAAAAGUGUUAUAAAUAGAAGUAAUUUGCUAUACAAAAACAAUGCAUAAGUAAUCUACAUUAAUAGACGUAAUGUAAAGUAAAUUGUAAUCUCAGAAGUAGUGCGAAAAAAAAUCACAGUAGUAAGACAUCAAAAACUGUCAAAAAAAAAGUCAUAAUGUAGUAAGACAUAAAGAAUGUCAUGGUAUAGUAUGGAGUCUAGACCGUACUCUUUUAUGUAAUUUGACAGAAAGAGACCCAACAAAUCCCACCAUGAGCAGCACUAGGUGACAGUGGCAAGAAAAAACUUCUUUUAAGAAGUAGAAACCUUGAACAGAAGCAGAUUUAGGGUGGGCAACCAUCUGCCUCACCAUGUUGGGUAAUAUAGUGAAGUAUCAAAAAUGUGGUGAAAAUAUUAUACUAUAGUAAAGCAUGACAAUGUCUUAGUAUAACAUGGCAUGAAAUGUUUUGUUCUCUGGUUCAGCUGUAAUGUUGAAUAUUUCUGUGUGUUUUCAUGGUUAAACUGUUGAUGAGGAAUAGGUAGUAGUGUAUUGAUCAUUUUCCUUUGUAUGUUUCUCUUUGAUUUCCUCCAGGUGUCACCACUUUGUCCACAACAUCGUCUACGAUUGCUGAGACGUUGUCCACGAUCGGAGAGACACUGUUGAGGAUGAGGGAGACAUCGUCCACGAUCAGAGACAUUGUCCAUGAUCUCAGAGACUUUGUCAAAGACGAGAGAGACGUUGUCCAUGAUCAGAGACAUUGUCCCAUGCUUCGUAGAGCUCUGCGCAAGAAUCGGUAGAGACACUGUGGUUCCUCGAUUUUGACGGCAUGACCGCGAUCAUGGAGACAUUGUCGAUGGUCACAGAGACACCGUCUAUGAUCUCAGAGACAUCGCCCAUGAUCAUAAAGACAUUGUCCAUGAUCACAGAGACUUUGUCCAUAAUCUCAGAGACAUUGUCCGCGAUCACAAAGACGUAGUCCACAAUCGCAGAGAGCCAUCGUACAGCGAGGAAGUUGUUUGAGACCAGGACAGAGGCCUCCAGGUAAUUCACAAACCGCUUUAUAUCAACUGUCCAACACAGAGCACUGACAUUUAACUGUUUAUGUUCGGUAUUCAGUAUAUCUGAAAAGUGUUAUAAAUAGAAGUAAUUUGCUAUACAAAAACAAUGCAUAAGUAAUCUACAUUAAUAGACGUAAUGUAAAAGUAAAUUGUAAUCUCAGAAGUAGUGCGAAAAAAAAAUCACAGUAGUAAGACAUCAAAAACUGUCAAAAAAAAGUCAUAAUGUAGUAAGACAUAAAGAAUGUCAUGGUAUAGUAUGGAGUCUAGACCGUACUCUUUUAUGUAAUUUGACAGAAAGAGACCCAACAAAUCCCACCAUGAGCAGCACUAGGCGACAGUGGCAAGAAAAAACUUCUUUUAAGAGGUUGAACAGAAGCAGACUCAGGGUGGGUGGCCAUCUGCCUCACCAUGUUGGGUAGUAUAGUGAAGUAUCAAAAAUGUUGUGAAAAUAUUAUACUAUAGUAAGGCAUGACAAUGUCUUAGUAUAACAUGGCAUGAAAUGUUUUGUUAACUUCUCUGGUUCAGCUGUAAUGAAUAUUUCUGUGUUUUUUCAUGGUUAAACUGUUGAUGAGGAAUAGGUAGUAGUGUAUUGAUCAUUUUCCUUUGUAUAUUUCUCUUUGAUUUCCUCCAGGUGUCACCACUUCGUCCACAACAUCGUCUACGAUUUCUGACACGUUGUCCACGAUCGGAGAGACACUGUUGAGGAUGAGGGAGACAUCGUCCACGAUCAGAGACAUUGUCCAUGAUCGCAGAGACCUUGUCAAAGACGAGAGAGACGUUGUUCAUGAUCAGAGACAUUGUCCCAUGCUUCGUAGAGCUCUGCGCAAGAAUCGGUAGAGACACUGUGGUUUCUCGAUUCGACGGCAUGACCGCGAUCAUGGAGACAUUGUCGAUGGUCACAGAGACACCGUCUAUGAUCUCAGAGACAUCGCCCACGAUCAUAAAGACAUUGUCCAUGAUCACAGAGACUUUGUCCAUAAUCUCAGAGACAUUGUCUGCGAUCACGAAGACGUAGUCCGCAAUCGCAGAGAGCCAUCGUACAGUGCAUCGUACGGAAGUUGUUUGAGACCAGGACCGAGGCCUCCAGGAGGAGAAGGAGAAGACAGCAUCACCUGAAGAGGACAACAAAAGUAAUUGAAUGCUCUUAAAGAUGUUAUUAGAUGUGUAAGACUACGCUUGUCCUCAUAUGUGCUCAUCACUACAUUUAAUGUGAGGUGAUUUAAUAAAAUAAAGUGUCUCCAAGUGGUCAAACAUCUGUCAUCUUUGCUGUGGUUUGUUCAAUGUUGUCUAGAUCAUAAUCAAUAAAGCUUUGUAGCUUAACAUUUGAGUUGAGUUUCUCUAUUUUUGAAUGUAUAUCACAAAAAUGAUUUUGUAAUGCAGAAUGCCUACUAUUCUCUACUUGCAAAAUCUAUAAGGCUAAAGAAACCUGUAACCCUAACCCUAACCCUAACCUCUGGCUACAAGUGGCAAAAAACAUAACCCUAACCCUAACCUCUAGCUACAAGUGGCUUCUGGCUAAAAAUAUUCACUGUCAUAAUAUUAAACAGACUAACCCUAACCCUAACCCUAGACCCUAACCUUAACCCUAACCCUAUUUUCUACUUGCAGCUUGCAAGAUCUAUAAUUGAGACUAAAAAAAGCUAAUAACAGUAACCCUAACCCUAACCUCCAGCUAGAAGAGGCUAAAGAAACCUCUAACCCUAACCUCCAGCUACAAGUGGCAAAAAACUGUAACCCUAACCCUAACCUCUAGCUACAAGUGGUUUCUGGCUAAAAAUAUUCACUGUCAUAAUAUUAAACAGACUAACCCUAACCCUAACCCUAUUCUCUACUUGCAGCUUGCAAAAUCUAUAAUUGAGAGUAAAAAAGCUAAUAACCGUAACCCUAACCCUAACCUCCAGCUAGAGGAGGCUAAAGAAACCUCUAACCCUAACCCUAACCUCCGGCUACAAGUAGCAAAAAACCGUAACCCUAACCCUAACCUCUGGCUACAAGUGGCUUCUGGCUAAAAAUAUUCAUUGUCAUAAUGUUAAACAGACUGGCAAAAGUGUUCAGAAGUAUUUACUUGAGUAAAUUCAGAGUUGCAGCAGCAAAGAUAUAAAAAGAUAAUAUAUAACAAUGUAUAAAGAGUAUAAACAAUAUGAAAAGUAUAAACUAUGUACACAGUACAUUGGAUUGGAUUUUGAGUAGUUUGAAAUAGCAAAAUACACAAAAUCUAACCUAACCCACAAACACUGUAGAGGUGUGACUGUGUGAAUAUGUGUGUAUCUGUGGAAAACAAAGGUAAGAUGGCUGCUUUAAGAUAGUUCAUUUGUCUCAAGAUCCAUGUCAUAGUCUAUAGUAAG
Lates calcarifer (barramundi perch) is the source of this 5653-nucleotide long non-coding RNA. RefSeq lists it as uncharacterized. The record is from RefSeq and is a predicted model, not a curated record. The transcript is spliced from 4 exons. NCBI's taxonomy places the organism in Eukaryota, Metazoa, Chordata, Actinopteri, Centropomidae.